Raphanus sativus (radish) is the source of this 916-nucleotide long non-coding RNA. RefSeq lists it as uncharacterized. The transcript is spliced from 4 exons. NCBI's taxonomy places the organism in Eukaryota, Viridiplantae, Streptophyta, Magnoliopsida, Brassicales, Brassicaceae. The record is from RefSeq and is a predicted model, not a curated record.
CAUUUAAGGAUCAAGUCCUUAAAGACUGGUAAGGCGUGAGUGGUCCGGCGGCUGCGGGUUGUGUCUCAAAAAAAAAAAAAAUUCAGUCUCUUUCUCCGUCACAAAAAAAAAAAUCUCUCUCAACUUCUCUCGAAGACGAUGGCGUCUGAGAAAAAACAGAGGAGGAUUUGCCGUGGGUCGAAGCAGUAAACGGGCAAAAGGGAGAGCGACUCGUCGUUGGCGGAGUUGAGACACUCGUUGUCGUGGACGCGGAGGUCUGAUCGAGUCCGUCUCUGAGCUCCGGAAGAAUCUCGAGCCGAGAGGGUCCAAUCUCGUUGUCAGGGUGGGGAAACCAGAAUCUGUUCUGGUGGAAUUGGCUAAGGAGAUCGGAGCAGACGCGAUUUACGCACACAGGGAAGUGUCUCACGACGGAGCGUUCAAGGAGGGUGAUUCAAUCUUUUUUUGUUCAAGGAGCAAUAUUAGAAAAAUAAGGUUGAGAAAUGUGGUGGGAAAGUCUCGAGCUCUGUUAAAGGGGUAACGUGUUUGGUGGUUUCACCGGCUGAAAGAGAGAGAGGUGGUUCCUCAAAACUGGUGGAAGCCAUGGAACAAGGUCUACCGGUUGUGAGCGAGGCGUGGUUGAUUGAUAGCAAUUGAGUCCUUAUCAGCUGAGUGGAGACUGAAGUCAUGAGUUCUACAAGAAGACAAGUGUUCAUUGUUCUCACUGUUUUAGCUUUGGCAAUGCCGUUCAACUGCUUGAUUCCUCCUUCUCCAGGUUUUAAUGUCCCUGUUUUUUUUUUGUGCUUGCCUUCUUUGGUUUUUAUGUAUUGUUAUAAGUUAUCAACACUUGUUUUCUCAGAUCAGUGAAUGUAGCGAAUUAGUAAUAUUGUUAGGUGAACUUAUUUUCUGAUGAACUUAGUAUUGAAUGCAGUUCUGGUCA